AGAAAAUUAAAGUGUAAAACAAUUUUGAAAAGAAAUUAAAAAAAGAAACAAAUAAGAAGUAAAUAACAAAAAAUCCAGAAAUUAAAAUCAAAAGCCAGGGGUUGCAAAGCAGAAAAUAGUGGUAUGUCGGAGUUUGGGCACAGAGGCCCAAUCCAAGGCCCACUGGCCUUAAGCCCUGAACAGAGGGGUACAGGAAGCAGUUUGAGGUGUUUGAACAUGAUUGCGGAUGGGACAACGCAUGCAGAGGCCCAUUCACUCCUUACUCACGCAGGAAGGGUGCACCAAGUGGACUCAGGGGUGCUACUAGCAAAUCCAUGGGCAUGAGUCCCAGCCGAAUUUAAACCAAAGCAAAAUGAGGGAAGGGUCAGCUUGCUUGGAUUCAACUCACAUGCAUUCAUACAUCACUUCAAUGCUCUCUCCUCUAACAUAUUUCAUCCCCGGAGUCUCUAAUCAACUCCGGCGAUGACGAAGGGCCAAACAUGAAAUUGAUUGCAUCAUUCUAUUCGAUUUCACCCCCUCCAUUCAAAUCUUAUAAUCACUGAACCUAAUUCCAAAUAUAAAGGCCAAAUCGAAACAAAAAGUGUAUGGACCCUAAUCUACAAAACCAGAAAUUAAAUGAAGACCACGAUGGAUCAAAGCCUCUGAUGAGAGGGCUUUGAUUCCUGACACAAGGAGCUACAUCUUGGUAAGCAAAUUUAAGCAAAAUGGAGCAGAAUAAUUGGAGCCCUACUUGCCGGAGACGAAGGUGAUGACGACGGAGAUGAAGGUUAAAUCAGGAAAAGGUGAGAUUAUGGUGGCAAGACAAGUCAGAGUAUUGUGGAGGCCUAUGGAAACAUCAUGGCAUGGUGGAUUGACGGGCUGUCAAGUUCAAAGCUUCUUCCUUUUUUUACUUUUGAUUCAAGCUAUGUAACAUGUGAACAUGUAGCAUGCUAUGAUGAUGUAGUAGUUAUUAGGAAAUGGAUUAGUUUAUGUAAAAUGAUUUUAUUCUUGUAAUGAAGAAUGUUUAUGGAUAA
Long non-coding RNA from Lathyrus oleraceus (garden pea), 1013 nucleotides. RefSeq lists it as uncharacterized. The transcript has 2 exons. The record is from RefSeq and is a predicted model, not a curated record. NCBI's taxonomy places the organism in Eukaryota, Viridiplantae, Streptophyta, Magnoliopsida, Fabales, Fabaceae.